CCUACGGGUGGCAGCAGUGAGGAAUAUUGGUCAAUGGACGCAAGCCUGAACCAGCCAAGCCGCGUGAAGGAUGACUGCCCUAUGGGUUGUAAACUUCUUUUAUACGGGAGUAAAGUCAAGUAUGCGUGCCUUUUUGUAUGUAUCUUACGAAUAAGGAUCGGCUAACUCCGUGCCAGCAGCCGCGGUAAUACGGAGGAUUCGAGCGUUAUCCGGAUUUAUUGGGUUUAUAGGGAGCGUAGGCGGGUGGUUAAGUCAGUUGUGAAAGUCUGCGGCUCAACGGUAAAAUUGCAUUUGAUACUGGUAGUCUUGAGUACAGUAGAGGUAGGCGGAAUUCGUGGUGUAGCGGUGAAAUGCUUAGAUAUCAUGAAGAACACCGAUUGCGAAGGCAGCUUACUGAACUGCCACUGACGGUGAGGCGCGAAAGCGUGGGGAGCAAACAGGAUUAGAUACCCCGGUAGUC
RNAcentral lists this ribosomal RNA (460 nucleotides) under uncultured bacterium. RNAcentral describes it as "partial 16S ribosomal RNA". It matches the Rfam family "Bacterial small subunit ribosomal RNA", at positions 338 to 795 of the family's 1533-position model. The record is from RNAcentral.